Long non-coding RNA from Zonotrichia albicollis (white-throated sparrow), 3462 nucleotides. RefSeq lists it as uncharacterized. Lineage: Eukaryota; Metazoa; Chordata; Aves; Passeriformes; Passerellidae. The record is from RefSeq and is a predicted model, not a curated record.
AAAAGAAAAUGAAAAGGAACAAUAAGUGAAACACGGGCAAUGAUUUAGUCUCUUGAAAAUGCACAUUAAUCAUCUGACAGCCCUCAGCUUUACUGAACUGAAAGUUCGUUUCUCAUGGCAAAGUUAACUUUGUGACCAGCGCCGGGAGGCGAAGCUGGAGCAGGGCUGGCAGCAAUACUCAGGAGCGGCAACUGCAUGAGUGUAUUGAGAAGCAGAGUAUUCACAAAAACUCCUAACGGACCCAUAAAUACCCAGCUUAGCUGCUGGUUUAAUCACUCGCAAAGACAUUGCCUGACUCUUUUAAAGCCGCGAGUAUCUGAAGUUUUGGAAGCGAUUGUGAAUAAAUACUUCACUGCCCGCUCACAGCGACGUUUCCCCGGCGUUAGCUCAUUAGAGUGCCUGAAAGAGACUCGACAGAAAAUAAGUUAAAUGCAACUUAAAUCAUCACCCCAUUCGACGCUAAAAGCAACACGAAAGGCGAGGCGUUCACCAAAAGGUUGCAAAAGGCGUCAGCUGCACCGCAGUUGGGAGUGGAGGGAGCGGGAUUGCGGGAUGGGAGCGGCCAGCGUGGCUGGGAUCCCAGUCCCCAGUUGUGGUGGUACUUUUUUUGCUUUUUUUCCUCCACACGAUUUUUUUUUUUUUUUUGGUGACUUCGAAAGAUGUCACGGCGAAGUGAAAUCUUUGUGGAGGGCUGAUCAUGCAUUCAGACUGUAGUGUUUUCAAAAUGUGAUGUUUUGCAAUGAUGACAUUAGAGUAGCAACCAAGGGUCCGAGACAGCAACGCCUGCUGCAGCUGGGCUUCGCUUUGAAAUGCCCAAGACAAUGGGGGCCACUGUUCUUCAUCGCUUCGCCUUUCCAUUCCAUUUGCAUAGUCUGUUCUGCCUGAUUGACCAGCUUGGGCUGUCCAAGGGACCAGCAUUGUUCACAGAUCACUUCAAGAUGGCACAGAUGACAAGAUUCAGGUAGAAAAUGCACGUGUUCACAGUGACUCGACUGCACAACAUCUUGGGGUUUGCAUUAUUUCCUACAAUCUGUCAUCGGGGAGGAAGGGGGACCAUGACAAAUCAUGAAGCUUUCACCUGCCCUGUGACUGAAAAGCCAUUUGGGGGAAGGUAAAAUAAAAGGUAAUACGGAACGUUAAUCUGAUCACGUGAUCAAGGAAUUACUCAAGACUUUCCCAAAAGAUAAAGAUUCCCAGUGAGCAAGGAAAGAAGGAGAGACGACGUUUGAGGUGUAUGUAACUCGGAAGCACUGUAGAUGGUUUCAGACUUUUCCUCACCAGGUGGGAAUUGUGUUUUCGUGUCUUACUUCGUUUUGAACUCCCCUGCUUGGGGUUUUAGAUCUUUCCUGGCCUUGGGCUACUUGUGUUUGUAGCUCCAAAACUGAACAGCCAUUCAUUCUUCUAAUCUGAUUAGGAUUGAACUAUCCACUCACUAGUGGCUUUAGCAGGACAAUCUUCCUAUGGACUUUUUCUGCAUUGGAGAGAUUAAAAAAAAAAAAAAAACAAAACCAAAACCAACAAAAACAAUCACAUCAAAACAAACCCUUCUGGAAUCUGUGCGAGACAAUUUUUGGGUAGGAAAUAAACUUCUCCCUACUCCCUCUGCACCCCUCCUGCAACUUCACCCCCCUCCUUGGAUGUAUGGUGCCUUUGUUCACCACUAGUUCCUAGUUGCUAUGGAGUUUUACGCCUUGGUAAACUAUAUUUCACCUCCUCCCGGUGAAAGCUAUUCUUCCCCUAAAUGCACACUUUGCAGACUCCGGUCCUUCCUCCCGGUGUCGGUCGCACUUCCUCAGCCCACGCUGCUCUGCCCCGGGCUAAAGCCGCGUUUUCCCACUCGGAUCUCAGCUCACCCUCUAGCACUUGCCCAAUUGUUUGACCACGGACAGAUGCUCUCCUGCUUCUCCUCGGUUUUAUUGUCCUUCAUUUUAUUUUUUUUAAGGUUUCUGAGGGACAGUCCCUCUAUCUGAGAGCCGCAGCUAACCGUGGCACACGUCUUCUCCAAAUCAAUGAGAGGUGUCCGGGCUGAAAGCGUGGACAAUGGGAUUUUACCGAGCAUGAAGCAUAUUACCCCCAAACCCGUCCUGACAGGCCGUGCUAAAGCAUUUGAAUGACUUUCUUGAAACGAGACCCUUCUGAAGGCUCCUCCCUCCAGAGAAAUACACCAUCCAGGAGAGAUAGGCAUGAAAGUGCACGGGGGCACCCAAGGCUUUGUAAAUUGGGGGUGGGGUGCGCUUCCUUUGUCACAAAGCCUCACUGCUUCCACCCCAAAGCCAGGGACCAGUGUGCUUUACCUUGGGGGCUGCCCCUCAUUCACCACAAGCUCCGGACAUGUUAAGGGAUGGGAUUUUCACUUUAAAACUUCCAGACUUUUUGAAGGCACAUACCGCGGUGUGGUUCACCUCAGUCAGCUACCAAUCUCUAGCCUACCCUACAGAGGCAUCUCCAGGUAUGUCCUGGUUUUAGACAUAAAGACUGGGAAGGACUUCCAGGUUUCCUGCUAGCAUUUUGGCCAUGCAGCUACAGGAGUGGGCUCCAUAUAUCACACUGCUGUUACACCAAAGAUCCUCAAAAAUUUAGUUUGUUAAUCUUUACUUUUGCAAAGUUUCCUCCAACAGCAGAGUGGUUCAGUGCAUGCAAAAGUCAAUGGGCUUUCGCUUCAGCCUCUAAAGAAAGCCUCCAGUUACAUCUGUACCUGCACACCAGGUUCCCCAGCUCCUCUGCCAGCUGUCCCGCUGCUCGGGGCCGCCCUAGUGUUCCAGUUUUUCCUGACACUAUUGAGCAGAGGCACGGCGGGGCUGGAGCCAGCAGGCAGGCAAGGCCCUGUCCUCUCCGCACCCACAAUCUGUUAUCCCUCCUACCCCCGAGCACCGGGUCGGCUCCCGCCGCUCCCUCACGCCCCUGGCUGCAGAUACUCGGUUCGCACCAGCUGCCCGGCUCGGAGCUCUGCAAGACCAUGUCCUGCCUCGUUUUCUGUUUUGCCUCCUCUUUCUUUUGGCCUUGCCUCUUCAGAAGUGACUUUUCAGCCAAGCUUGGCUGUCUGACUCCUCUCCGCCUCGGCCGUGUGAAACCUCCUGCCUCAGACUUCAGUUUCCCCACGGAAAGCAGCAUCCAUGCCUAACCUCAGAGGGAGAGCCCCUUCGUCUUGGCCGGUCCCCUCCUGUCCCAGCCUGGCUGUCCGGGGCGCCAGCGCUCUGCGGAGCUGCGGGAGUGCCUAGGCGCUGGGGGCACGGAGGGGCAGCGGGGCGCGACGGCGCCGCGUUUUGCAGAGCGGGAACACGCGUGGCCGCAGGUGCCUGGGGUUUCACUCUGCGCUUUCACAAGGGAUGGCUCCGAACCGGGCCAGGCCCGUUGGCUUCAGAUCCCCUUCGGUUCGGACGAUGUGCACAGAGACGCUCGGUGCUGCUCGUGGGGUAGCGCCGAACCACCUCGCUUUUGGGGGUGCUGAGUUUUCUGGUAGAG